This 253-nucleotide ribosomal RNA is filed under the name uncultured bacterium. Its description in RNAcentral is "partial 16S ribosomal RNA". It matches the Rfam family "Bacterial small subunit ribosomal RNA", at positions 524 to 776 of the family's 1533-position model. The record is from RNAcentral.
UACGAAGGGGGCUAGCGUUGUUCGGAAUUACUGGGCGUAAAGGGCGCGUAGGCGGCUUCUCAAGCGUGUGGUGAAAGUCCGGGGCUCAACCCCGGAUCGGCCGUGCGGACUGGGGAGCUCGAGUUCUGUAGAGGCGGGUGGAAUUCCGGGUGUAGCGGUGGAAUGCGUAGAGAUCCGGAAGAACACCGGUGGCGAAGGCGGCCCGCUGGGCAGAGACUGACGCUGAGGCGCGACAGCGUGGGGAGCAAACAGG